AACGAACGCUGGCGGCAUGCCUAACACAUGCAAGUCGAACGAACCCUUCGGGGUUAGUGGCGCACGGGUGCGUAACGCGUGGGAAUCUGCCCUUGGCUUCGGAAUAACAGUUAGAAAUGACUGCUAAUACCGGAUGAUGUCUUCGGACCAAAGAUUUAUCGGCCAGGGAUGAGCCCGCGUAGGAUGAGGUAGUUGGUGGGGUAAAGGCCUACCAAGCCGACGAUCCUUAGCUGGUCUGAGAGGAUGAUCAGCCACACUGGGACUGAGACACGGCCCAGACUCAUACGGGAGGCAGCGGUGGGGAAUAUUGGACAAUGUGCGCAAGCCUGAUCCAGCAAUGCCGCGUGAGUGAUGAAGGCCUUAGGGUCGUAAAGCGCUUUUACCCGGGAUGAUAAUGACAGUACCGGGAGAAUAAGCUCCGGCUAACUCCGUGCCAGCAGCCGCCGCAG
This 449-nucleotide ribosomal RNA is filed under the name uncultured bacterium. Its description in RNAcentral is "partial 16S ribosomal RNA". It matches the Rfam family "Bacterial small subunit ribosomal RNA", at positions 29 to 523 of the family's 1533-position model. The record is from RNAcentral.